CUGGUGGCCACAUCAUGUUGAAACACUGGUUCCCAUAUUAUCACCAAAGUUAAGCAAUGUCAAGCCUGAUCAGUACCUAUAUGGGUAACCGUUUGGGAAUAUCAGGUACUGUAAG
This is a non-coding RNA of Acanthosepion pharaonis, 115 nucleotides long. NCBI's taxonomy places the organism in Eukaryota, Metazoa, Mollusca, Cephalopoda, Sepiida, Sepiidae. The record is from the annotation of a GenBank genome assembly.